UACAGAGGGUGCAAACGUUGCUCGGAAUUACUGGGCGUAAAGCGUGCGUAGACGGUUAUUUAAGUCGGGUGUGAAAGCCCCGGGCUCAACCUGGGAAUUGCAUUCGAGACUGAAUAGCUAGGGUACGGUAGAGGGAAGCGGAAUUUCCGGUGUAGCGGUGAAAUGCGUAGAUAUCGGAAGGAACAUCAGUGGCGAAAGCGGCUUCCUGGACCAGUACCGACGUUCAGGCACGAAAGCGUGGGGAGCAAACAGG
Molecule: ribosomal RNA, 253 nt
Filed under: uncultured bacterium
Lineage: Bacteria
Description: partial 16S ribosomal RNA
Rfam family: Bacterial small subunit ribosomal RNA
Source: RNAcentral